GUAAAGCUUCCCCAGGUCAGNGAUCNGUAGCUGGUCUGAGAGCAUGANCAGCCUCACUGGCGACUGAGACCCGGNCCAGANUNCUNCAGNNGGCAAUNUUCCGCAAUGGGCGCAANCCUGNCNNAGCAUACCGCGUGAGGGAGGANGNCUUUNNGGUUGUAACCCUCUUUUGUCAGGGAAGAAGAAUUGACGGUACCUGAGGAAUAAGCCUCGGCUAACUCCGUGCCAGCAGCCGCGGUAAUACGGAGGAGGCAAGCGUUAUCCGGAAUUAUUGGGCGUAAAGCGUCCGCAGGUGGCUACUCAAGUCUGCUGUCAAAGACCGGGGCUCAACCCCGGAAAGGCAGUGGAAACUGGGAGGCUAGAGUGCGGUAGGGGUAGAGGGAAUUCCCGGUGUAGCGGUGAAAUGCGUAGAGAUCGGGAAGAACAUCGGUGGCGAAAGCGCUCUACUGGGCCGCAACUGACACUCAGGGACGAAAGCUAGGGGAGCGAAUGGGAUUAGAUACCCCAGUAGUCCUAGCUGUAAACGAUGGAGAC
Molecule: ribosomal RNA, 534 nt
Filed under: uncultured Microcoleus sp.
Lineage: Bacteria; Bacillati; Cyanobacteriota; Cyanophyceae; Oscillatoriales; Microcoleaceae
Description: partial 16S ribosomal RNA
Rfam family: Bacterial small subunit ribosomal RNA
Source: RNAcentral